GAUGAACGCUGGCGGCGUGCCUAAUACAUGCAAGUAGAACGCUGAAGGAGGAGCUUGCUCUUCUGGAUGAGUUGCGAACGGGUGAGUAACGCGUAGGUAACCUGCCUGGUAGCGGGGGAUAACUAUUGGAAACGAUAGCUAAUACCGCAUGACAACAGUUAUUGCAUUAUAACUGUUUAAAAGUGGCAACUGCUCCACUACCAGAUGGACCUGCGUUGUAUUAGCUAGUUGGUGAGGUAACGGCUCACCAAGGCGACGAUACAUAGCCGACCUGAGAGGGUGAUCGGCCACACUGGGACUGAGACACGGCCCAGACUCCUACGGGAGGCAGCAGUAGGGAAUCUUCGGCAAUGGACGGAAGUCUGACCGAGCAACGCCGCGUGAGUGAAGAAGGUUUUCGGAUCGUAAAGCUCUGUUGUAAGAGAAGAACGAGUGUGAGAGUGGAAAGUUCACACUGUGACGGUAGCUUACCAGAAAGGGACGGCUAACUACGUG
RNAcentral lists this ribosomal RNA (495 nucleotides) under uncultured bacterium. RNAcentral's name for it is "partial 16S ribosomal RNA". It matches the Rfam family "Bacterial small subunit ribosomal RNA", at positions 28 to 507 of the family's 1533-position model. The record is from RNAcentral.